This 73-nucleotide transfer RNA is filed under the name Blarina brevicauda (short-tailed shrew). Its description in RNAcentral is "tRNA-Gln". It matches the Rfam family "tRNA". Rfam says of the family: Transfer RNA (tRNA) molecules are approximately 80 nucleotides in length. Their secondary structure includes four short double-helical elements and three loops (D, anti-codon, and T loops). Lineage: Eukaryota; Metazoa; Chordata; Mammalia; Eulipotyphla; Soricidae. The record is from RNAcentral.
UAGAGUCUAGUGUAAUAUGGUAGCACGGAGGUUUUUGAUUUCUCAAGAGUAGGUUCGACUCCUAUAAUUCUAG